GACGAACGCUGGCGGCGUGCUUAACACAUGCAAGUCGAACGGAAAGGCCCUGCUUUUGUGGGGUGCUCGAGUGGCGAACGGGUGAGUAACACGUGAGUAACCUGCCCUUGACUUUGGGAUAACUUCAGGAAACUGGGGCUAAUACCGGAUAGGAGCUCCUGCUGCAUGGUGGGGGUUGGAAAGUUUCGGCGGUUGGGGAUGGACUCGCGGCUUAUCAGCUUGUUGGUGGGGUAGUGGCUUACCAAGGCUUUGACGGGUAGCCGGCCUGAGAGGGUGACCGGACACAUUGGGACUGAGAUACGGCCCAGACUCCUACGGGAGGAAGCAGUGGGGAAUAUUGCACAAUGGGCGGAAGCCUGAUGCAGCAACGCCGCGUGCGGGAUAACGGCCUUCGGGUUGUAAACCGCUUUCGCCUGUGACGAAGCGUGAGUGACGGUAAUGGGUAAAGAAGCACCGGCUAACUACGUG
This 468-nucleotide ribosomal RNA is filed under the name uncultured bacterium. RNAcentral's name for it is "partial 16S ribosomal RNA". It matches the Rfam family "Bacterial small subunit ribosomal RNA", at positions 28 to 507 of the family's 1533-position model. The record is from RNAcentral.